GAGAAAAACCGAAAAAAGAGGGAUGCAACACGAGGACUUUCCGGGAGGUCACCCAUCCUAGUACUACUCUCGCCCAAGGACCCUUAACUGCGGAGUUCUGAUGGGAUCCGUUGCAUUAGUGCUGGUAUGAUCGCAUGUGUUACUACAUGCAAUGUAAUCGUAUCUAUUCUUUCUUAAAGACUUUAUGAUCCAUUUGCCGUGCGUCCCACCAGCUAUGUAGGAAUACCCUAUCUUCUUUAUAAGAGCUUUGAUACAUGCAAAAUAUUGGAAAACAAUGUCCGAACAUAUAGUUUUCCCCCCGUAAUAUAGCAAAGAUCACGAAAAGGCCCGAAAAAGUACAUUUAGUUCAAAAUUUGGAGUAGAAAAAAAAACAAUAGAAGAAUUCCAUUUUCCUUCCUCAGUCAUCGGAGAGCUCUCUUAGGGCUUUCCGAAAAGGUAUCACAUGCCAAGUUUGGCCUCACGGUAUAAACGUUAUAGAGUCAUACAUUUUUAACAAUACAAAAUAGAGAAAAACCGAAAAAAAGAGGGAUGCAACACGAAGACUUUCCGGGAGGUAAUCCAUCCUAGUACUACUCUUGCCAAAGCACCCUUAACUGCGGAGUUCUGAUGGAAUCUGGUGCAUUAGUGCUGGUAUGAUCGCAUGUGUUACUACAUGCAAUGUAAUCGUAUCUAUUCUUUUUUAAAGACUUUAUGAUCCAUUUGCCGUGGGUCCCACCAGCUAUGUACGAAUACCCUAUCUUCUUUAUAAGAGCUUUGAUACAUGCAAAAUAUAUGAAAAAAACGUCCGAACAUAUAAUUUUCCCCCCGUAAUAUAGCAAAGAUCAUGAAAAGGCCCAAAAAAGUACAUUAAGGUCAAAAUUUGGCGUAGAAAAAAAACCAAUAGACAUAUUCCAUUG
Molecule: small RNA, 896 nt
Filed under: Arabidopsis thaliana (thale cress)
Lineage: Eukaryota; Viridiplantae; Streptophyta; Magnoliopsida; Brassicales; Brassicaceae
Description: ATSL163660
Source: RNAcentral